This 774-nucleotide ribosomal RNA is filed under the name uncultured Neocallimastigales. RNAcentral describes it as "partial large subunit ribosomal RNA". It matches the Rfam family "Eukaryotic large subunit ribosomal RNA", at positions 24 to 627 of the family's 3401-position model. Lineage: Eukaryota; Fungi; Neocallimastigomycota; Neocallimastigomycetes; Neocallimastigales. The record is from RNAcentral.
UAGUCUCGCACAGAUGCAUAUCAAUAAGGCGGAGGAAAAGAAACUAACAAGGAUUCCCCUAGUAACGGCGAGUGAAGCGGGAAGAGCUCAAAUUUGAAAUCUUAAAGGGUUUCCCUUUACGAAUUGUAGUUUAAAGAAGUGUUUUCUGUUGAGGUUUUGGUAAAAGUUCUUUGGAAUAGGACAUCAUAGAGGGUGAGAAUCCCGUAUUUGACCUUUACUUUCAACUUUGUGAUACACUUUCAAAGAGUCGGAUUGUUUGGGAAUGCAGUCCAAAAUGGGUGGUAAAUUUCAUCUAAAGCUAAAUAUUGGCGAGAGACCGAUAGCGAACAAGUACCGUGAGGGAAAGAUGAAAAGAACUUUGAAAAGAGAGUUAAACAGUACGUGAAAUUGUCAAAAGGGAAGCGUUUGACACCAGUGUUGUUUUUCUGAAAAUCAAUUAAAGAACUGUUUAUGCUAAGUUGUUUAGACUUUAUCAGCUAACUGUUUAGUUUUGAGCUUUUCUUUAAUGCACUUUUCAGUUAACAAGUCAACAUCAAUUUCUUUUGCUGUAAAAAAGCUUGAGGAAGGUGGCUUGAGAUUCGUCUUAAGUGUUUAUAGCCUCUUGCCUAAGCAGUCGGAGAGAUUGAGGUCUGCAGCGUAGAUCCUUCGGGGCUAAAUGCAUUUGUGCUAAGUUAUAGCAUUUUAUAGACAACUUGUUGACUAUGAUUUGUCUUGUAGCUUACUCGCUUAUGUUAUUUUACCUACGCUUAGGAUGUUGAACUCUAUCACACACAG